Molecule: ribosomal RNA, 321 nt
Filed under: uncultured Prevotella sp.
Lineage: Bacteria; Pseudomonadati; Bacteroidota; Bacteroidia; Bacteroidales; Prevotellaceae
Description: partial 16S ribosomal RNA
Source: RNAcentral
GGAGUUUGGACCGUGUCUCAGUUCCAAUGUGGGGGACCUUCCUCUCAGAACCCCUACUGAUCGAGGGCUUGGUGGGCCGUUACCCCGCCAACAACCUAAUCAGACGCAUCCCCAUCCUAUAGCGGUAAACCUUUGUUCCAUUUUAGAUGUCUGCAUUGGAAAACAUAGAGUAUUAAUCCGACUUUCGCCGGGCUAUCCUCUACUAUAGGGAAGGUUGGAUACGCGUUACUCACCCGUCGCGCCGGUCGCCAUCACAGAUAGCAAGCUACCUGCAUGCUGCCCCUCGACUUGCAUGUGUUAAGCCUGUAGCUAGCGUUCAUC